Non-coding RNA from Ictidomys tridecemlineatus (thirteen-lined ground squirrel), 71 nucleotides. Lineage: Eukaryota; Metazoa; Chordata; Mammalia; Rodentia; Sciuridae. The record is from Rfam.
GUGGUUGUGGCUCAGUGGUAGAACGCUUACCUAGCAUGUGUGAGGCACUGGGUUCAAUUCUCAGCACCACA